This 24-nucleotide non-coding RNA is filed under the name Arabidopsis thaliana (thale cress). The record is from RNAcentral. Lineage: Eukaryota; Viridiplantae; Streptophyta; Magnoliopsida; Brassicales; Brassicaceae.
CGUGAUAUAUAUGCCGAAAUGUGU